Molecule: long non-coding RNA, 648 nt
Filed under: Cucumis sativus (cucumber)
Lineage: Eukaryota; Viridiplantae; Streptophyta; Magnoliopsida; Cucurbitales; Cucurbitaceae
Description: long non-coding RNA (CSAT_LNC000407)
Source: RNAcentral
GUGAAUCAUAACCAUGUGAGGCAAAGCCUACACCAGAUCUGACUGUGUUUCCAAAUUGACCAUACAACUUAUUGGGGUACAUCCGAUUUAUAUAACCCUGGGUGGUAUUCAUUCCUGACAUGGGUCUAGGAUGAGGAAAACCCUGCAGCAAAAAAAAGAGAAAGAAACAGAUUAAAUUAUGAUUAAUUCAAUACUGAAAAGGAAAUUUAGAAGUAGAUAAAGAAUGCUUACUACAUAGUGAGAUCCGGGACGGAAACUUGGACUUCUUGAAGAAGGUAUGUUGUUUGCAUUUGAGAUAGAGGAGGUAAUAGUAGAGCUACUGACAAGCCUAGACUGUCCAUCUGAGUACAGUGGACCAUCUGACCAAGGGAAAGAAUUCCUCAACCCAUCAUAGCCAUAUCUGGGAUCCUGAUAACCCGAAGCAGGAAUAUGCCCUGGCAAAGCACCCCUUGCAUACGCAUUUGAACCAAAUGUUGAAUUUUGAUAAGAAGAUUUCAAAGGAGCUGAACCAUUGUUUCCCUUUGUUCCCCCACCAUUUGUCAAGCCAGUACCAUUUGUAUUCGUUGUUUCCACAGGAAUUGGCUUUUGCUCAGUGGCUGCAGAGGUAGAAAUGUCUCCCUGUGUUGGAGGAACUGUUGUAGGACUAGG